This 254-nucleotide ribosomal RNA is filed under the name uncultured bacterium. RNAcentral describes it as "partial 16S ribosomal RNA". It matches the Rfam family "Bacterial small subunit ribosomal RNA", at positions 524 to 776 of the family's 1533-position model. The record is from RNAcentral.
UACGGGGGGAGCAAGCGUUGUUCGGAUUUACUGGGCGUAAAGGGCGCGUAGGCGGCCACCGCGAGUCAAUUGUGAAAUCUCCGGGCUCAACCCGGAACGGGCAACUGAUACUGCGGGGCUAGAGUGCAGAAGGGGCAACUGGAAUUCUCGGUGUAGCGGUGAAAUGCGUAGAUAUCGAGAGGAACACCGGUGGCGAAGGCGGUUCUCUGGGCCUGACCUGACGCUGAGGAGCGAAAGCGUGGGGAGCGAACAGG